UGUAAAGCUGCUGAGCUGUCAGAACUCAUCACAAUGCUUGGACAUGUAGGACAGAUUCACUUGGCAGGACUGCUCCUGCCCACACUUGGUCAGUCUUAAGCUGGGCAGUGAUUCCUUCAGCUGAACAGCUAUUACAAGAUGUGACCUUAUCUAUGGAAACUAAAAAGGGCGAAGACAGAUCUCAGCAAGAUGGAUUCUAAAAUUCAUGCAGAGAACAGUCAGCUUUUCAGUGAAAGCAGACAUUUCAACAGUUUUCAGGUAUCAUCUGUGUAUCAAAGGAUGGAGACAAGCAGUAAAGAUCUGGACUCCACUUUUCCAGAGGUCAAGAGCGAUCCAGAGUGCAGAAUGAACAAACACUCUGAGUUGUGGAUGUACAUACACAAGCAUCAACAGGUUCCGUGUUUGGAGUGCAGGAAUCAUUUCAACGUAAGU
Long non-coding RNA from Centrocercus urophasianus (Greater sage-grouse), 432 nucleotides. RefSeq lists it as uncharacterized. The record is from RefSeq and is a predicted model, not a curated record. The transcript has 4 exons. Lineage: Eukaryota; Metazoa; Chordata; Aves; Galliformes; Phasianidae.